AACGAACGCUGGCGGCGUGCUUAACACAUGCAAGUGGAGCGACGAACCGGGCUUCGGCCCGGGGCAAAGCCGCGAACGGGUGAGUAACACGUGGGUAACCUGCCCUGAAGACCGGGACAACCCGAGGAAACUCGAGCUAAUACCGGAUGUGUUCACUGUCCAUAAGAACAGUGAGAAAAGGAAGCUUCGGCCUCCGCUUCAGGAUGGGCCCGCGGCCCAUUAGCUUGUUGGUGAGGUAACGGCUCACCAAGGCUGCGAUGGGUAGCUGGUCUGAGAGGACGAUCAGCCACACUGGGACUGAGACACGGCCCAGACUCCUACGGGAGGCAGCAGUGGGGAAUCUUGCGCAAUGCGCGACAGCGUGACGCAGCAACGCCGCGUGGGGGAAGAAGGCCUUCGGGUUGUAAACCUCUUUCAGGAGGGACGAAGCUUCGGCAGCGAAUAGCUGUUCGGAGUGACGGUACCUCCACAAGAAGCCCCGGCUAACUACGUGCCAGCCGCCGCCGUAA
RNAcentral lists this ribosomal RNA (509 nucleotides) under uncultured bacterium. Its description in RNAcentral is "partial 16S ribosomal RNA". It matches the Rfam family "Bacterial small subunit ribosomal RNA", at positions 29 to 523 of the family's 1533-position model. The record is from RNAcentral.